GUACACUCCUACGGGAGGCAGCAGUGGGGAAUUUUGGACAAUGGGCGAAAGCCUGAUCCAGCCAUGCCGCGUGCAGGAUGAAGGCCUUCGGGUUGUAAACUGCUUUUGUACGGAACGAAACGGCCUUUUCUAAUAAAGAGGGCUAAUGACGGUACCGUAAGAAUAAGCACCGGCUAACUACGUGCCAGCAGCCGCGGUAAUACGUAGGGUGCAAGCGUUAAUCGGAAUUACUGGGCGUAAAGCGUGCGCAGGCGGUUAUGUAAGACAGUUGUGAAAUCCCCGGGCUCAACCUGGGAACUGCAUCUGUGACUGCAUAGCUAGAGUACGGUAGAGGGGGAUGGAAUUCCGCGUGUAGCAGUGAAAUGCGUAGAUAUGCGGAGGAACACCGAUGGCGAAGGCAAUCCCCUGGACCUGUACUGACGCUCAUGCACGAAAGCGUGGGGAGCAAACAGGAUUAGAUACCCCAGUAGUCCCAUGAU
This 479-nucleotide ribosomal RNA is filed under the name uncultured organism. RNAcentral's name for it is "partial 16S ribosomal RNA". It matches the Rfam family "Bacterial small subunit ribosomal RNA", at positions 331 to 801 of the family's 1533-position model. The record is from RNAcentral.